RNAcentral lists this ribosomal RNA (253 nucleotides) under uncultured bacterium. Its description in RNAcentral is "partial 16S ribosomal RNA". It matches the Rfam family "Bacterial small subunit ribosomal RNA", at positions 524 to 776 of the family's 1533-position model. The record is from RNAcentral.
UACGUAGGCAGCGAGCGUUGUUCGGAGUUACUGGGCGUAAAGGGUGUGUAGGCGGUUCUCUAAGUUUGGGGUGAAAUCUCCCGGCUCAACCGGGAGGGUGCGCCGAAAACUGGGGGGCUAGAGUGCGGGAUGGGUAAGUGGAAUUCCUGGUGUAGCGGUGAAAUGCGUAGAUAUCAGGAGGAACACCUGUGGUGUAGACGGCUUACUGGACCGCAACUGACGCUGAGACACGAAAGCGUGGGUAGCAAACAGG